GUGAGGAAUAUUGGUCAAUGGGCGCGAGCCUGAACCAGCCAAGUAGCGUGAGGGAUGACUGCCCUAUGGGUUGUAAACCUCUUUUGCAGGGGGGUAAAGUGGUUCACGUGUGGACCAUUGCAAGUACCCUGCGAAUAAGGAUCGGCUCACUCCGUGCCAGCAGCCGCGGUAAUACGGAGGAUCCGAGCGUUAUCCGGAUUUAUUGGGUUUAAAGGGAGCGUAGGCGGGGGUUUAAGUCAGCUGUGAAAUGCCGUGGCCCAACCAUGGAACUGCAGUUGAAACUGGACCUCUUGAGAGUACAUAAGGAAGGCGGAAUUCGUGGUGUAGCGGUGAAAUGCAUAGAUAUCACGAAGAACUCCGAUUGCGAAGGCAGCUUUCCGGGGUACAUCUGACGCUGAAGCUCGAAAGUGCGGGAAUCAAACAGGAUUAGAAACCCGAGUAGUCC
RNAcentral lists this ribosomal RNA (445 nucleotides) under uncultured bacterium. RNAcentral's name for it is "partial 16S ribosomal RNA". It matches the Rfam family "Bacterial small subunit ribosomal RNA", at positions 354 to 796 of the family's 1533-position model. The record is from RNAcentral.